CCUACGGGUGGCUGCAGCUAAGAAUCUUCCGCAAUGGGGGAAACCCUGACGGAGCGACGCCGCGUGGAUGAUGAAGGCCGUAAGGUUGUAAAAUCCUUUUGUUGGCGAAGAAUAAGCGUGGGAGUGGAAAGCCCACGUGAUGACGUUAGCCGACGAAUAAGCCCCGGCCAAUUACGUGCCAGCAGCCGCGGUAAUACGUAUGGGGCGAGCGUUGUUCGGAGUUGUGUAGCGUAAACAUCAAGUAGGCUGUGAAAUCGCAAGGCCUAACCUUGCAUAUGCGCUGGAAACUGGUGGGCUUGAGUUCUUGAGGGGAAGCUGGAAUUCCAGGUGUAGGAGUGAAAUCUGUAGAUAUCUGGAAGAACACCGGUGGCGAAGGCGAGCUUCUAUCAGAGGACUGACGCUGAGGCGCGAAAGCGUGGGGAGCAAACAGGAUUAGAUACCCCUGUAGUC
Molecule: ribosomal RNA, 450 nt
Filed under: uncultured bacterium
Lineage: Bacteria
Description: partial 16S ribosomal RNA
Rfam family: Bacterial small subunit ribosomal RNA
Source: RNAcentral